Molecule: long non-coding RNA, 1139 nt
Filed under: Gossypium raimondii (Peruvian cotton)
Lineage: Eukaryota; Viridiplantae; Streptophyta; Magnoliopsida; Malvales; Malvaceae
Description: long non-coding RNA (GRAI_LNC010845)
Source: RNAcentral
UAAAAAAUCACCUCUGAAGUUUUGUUUUCUUUUUUUCUUUUUUUUUCUAAUGUGUGUAAAAAAUUUACAAAGAUGAAGUUCGGGUUUUUAUAGUCGGAUUAAACAACUCUUUGUUUCUAUUUUUUUGUUUGUUUCUGCUUGGUUCUUCUGCUGUUUUGCAUUAAUUUCUCUCUGCAGGUGUCAGAGGCGUGCGAUGCGCGUGGAGGUGGCUAGCGUGCGGUGGCCAAGAGCAGGCCUAAGGGCGGCGGCCAGCAGCGGACCUAGGUGCAGUGCACCUAAGGUUAGGAGAAUUAGGGUUUUUCUGAUAAUGUUGGGUUUAGGCUAUUGGGCUAGGGUAGUUGGGCUUAAGUUUGUUUAAUUUUAUUUAGGCUGAGGUCUGUAAUAGUUUGGGUUUUAAUUUUUAUUUGGGUUGUCUGAUUUGGGCUUCAGGUUUUUUAUUAUUUAUUUGGUUUUGUUUGAGUAUUAUUGGGCCCCGGACAAAAAUAGGCCAUUACAGGCUGGUAAUGGGAUAUGGGGUGCAGAUGAAUAGUUAUGUUGCAGAGGUUUUUCUCUGCGGAAGCCAUUGCUUGCAUCCAAGCACUUCAGUUUGGAUAGAUCUGAAAUUGGUGUGCUUAUAUAAGAAAUCUUAUCUUUAGAUCUAACUUUUCACUUUAUUUCAUUUUGACAUGCAGAUAGAUCAGUAAACACUGUAGCCCACAAGUUAGCAACAACGGGGUUUACAAAGGGAAACACUAUGUUCUAGGUUGAAGAUGUACCUGAAGACAUACUGGAGGUGGUGCAUCAUGAUAUGGCCCUUUAGUUUCUUCCACCAUGAUCCAUUACAUCAAUCUUUUCUGCUUCAUAUCAGGGAAUGAUGAACUCAACUUUACCAUUGGAUCGCCUUGUUGGUUUGAGGGCCCAUUUUGCUUCCUCACAUGAGAACUGGAAUCGUCAUCUUUGGUUUCGCCGAGGCUCAUUUUACUUUUUUGCUUUUUUUUUUUGUGUUUUGUUUCAGUCAGUUUCAUAUUUGCUGUUUGUUUUAUUGCUUGUUUUGAGUACAACUGUGGGAAGAGUUCCAGAGUGUGAAGGGGACAGGGACACGUGGUUGGUUGAUGUUUUUGUAUCUGCUUUUUGUUUUGAUCCAUUAAUGAAGUCUCGGU